This 450-nucleotide ribosomal RNA is filed under the name uncultured bacterium. Its description in RNAcentral is "partial 16S ribosomal RNA". It matches the Rfam family "Bacterial small subunit ribosomal RNA", at positions 354 to 796 of the family's 1533-position model. The record is from RNAcentral.
GUGGGGAAUUUUGGACAAUGGGGGCAACCCUGAUCCAGCCAUGCCGCGUGCGGGAAGAAGGCCUUCGGGUUGUAAACCGCUUUUGUCAGGGAAGAAAUCCUUUGGGUUAAUACCUCGGAGGGAUGACGGUACCUGAAGAAUAAGCACCGGCUAACUACGUGCCAGCAGCCGCGGUAAUACGUAGGGUGCGAGCGUUAAUCGGAAUUACUGGGCGUAAAGCGUGCGCAGGCGGUUUUGGAAGAUCGAUGUGAAAUCCCCGGGCUCAACCUGGGAACGGCAUUGGUGACUGCAAGGCUGGAGUGCGGCAGAGGGGGAUGGAAUUCCGCGUGUAGCAGUGAAAUGCGUAGAUAUGCGGAGGAACACCGAUGGCGAAGGCAAUCCCCUGGGCCUGCACUGACGCUCAUGCACGAAAGCGUGGGGAGCAAACAGGAUUAGAAACCCUGGUAGUCC